This 497-nucleotide ribosomal RNA is filed under the name uncultured bacterium. Its description in RNAcentral is "partial 16S ribosomal RNA". It matches the Rfam family "Bacterial small subunit ribosomal RNA", at positions 28 to 507 of the family's 1533-position model. The record is from RNAcentral.
GAUGAACGCUGGCGGCGUGCCUAAUACAUGCAAGUCGAGCGAACAGACGAGGCGCUUGCUCCUCUGACGUUAGCGGCGGACGGGUGAGUAACACGUGUAUAACCUCCCUAUAAGACUGGGAUAACUUCGGGAAACCGGAGCUAAUACCGGAUAAUAUAUUGAACCGCAUGGUUCAAUAGUAAAAGACGGUUUUGCUGUCACUAAUAGAUGGAUCCGCGCCGCAUUAGCUAGUUGGUAAGGUAACGGCUUACCAAGGCAACGAUGCGUAGCCGACCUGAGAGGGUGAUCGGCCACACUGGAACUGAGACACGGUCCAGACUCCUACGGGAGGCAGCAGUAGGGAAUCUUCCGCAAUGGGCGAAAGCCUGACGGAGCAACGCCGCGUGAGUGAUGAAGGUCUUCGGAUCGUAAAACUCUGUUAUUAGGGAAGAACAAAUGUGUAAGUAACUAUGCACGUCUUGACGGUACCUAAUCAGAAAGCCACGGCUAACUACGUG